RNAcentral lists this long non-coding RNA (224 nucleotides) under Elaeis guineensis (African oil palm). RNAcentral describes it as "long non-coding RNA (EGUI_LNC036845)". The record is from RNAcentral. Lineage: Eukaryota; Viridiplantae; Streptophyta; Magnoliopsida; Arecales; Arecaceae.
GGUGUAUUGGCUAUUCAUAGUGAGGCUACUUAGUUUGACUGUACGUUCUCUUGAUCCCUAGUCAUUCGGAUCUUUGCUGUGUAUGUUGACUAUUAUAGGUUCAGAUUCGCUGUUUGGAGUAAGAUACACCUAGAUAGAAUCUAUCAACCUUGGUAGAAAAGGAGUAGUCCUAUACGAUUCGUAAGACUAAGUUCAAGAAGUCUCUAGCUAAGACAAGUGUGAAU